This 231-nucleotide long non-coding RNA is filed under the name Elaeis guineensis (African oil palm). RNAcentral's name for it is "long non-coding RNA (EGUI_LNC016138)". The record is from RNAcentral. Lineage: Eukaryota; Viridiplantae; Streptophyta; Magnoliopsida; Arecales; Arecaceae.
CAUUCCCGAUCGUUCCCUCAUCUACGGGAUCCCUGAAGUAUUUCGAGGGUUGCUCGCCAUUCCCACCACUGCCGCCGACCGCUGCCGCUUAGAUGAUAAUUGGCGAUCAUAUAGUAAAGGCAUCUAGCAUAAAUCUUAAAGCACAACGGUAAUUCACAAUGGUAACACCCCUCACAACAGCGGCUUUGUUCUAUGGGUUGAUUUUACUUUCCCAAAGGGUUCAUUCAUUCC